RNAcentral lists this long non-coding RNA (3571 nucleotides) under Strigops habroptila (Kakapo). RNAcentral's name for it is "lncRNA (ENSSHBG00005020248.1)". The record is from RNAcentral. Lineage: Eukaryota; Metazoa; Chordata; Aves; Psittaciformes; Psittacidae.
GGUUUAGGGUUUUCUUUUAUUUAGUGAUCAAAAAUGAGGGAGUUAAAAAUUAAAAACAUAUUGUUCCACGCACAAGGUGUCAAGCUGCAAAUUCAGAAGUCCUACAUAGAAUUUCGAGAGAUUUACAUACACUGUACUGGGUUUGCACAGGUAAGUACAGAAGUGCACAUAAAACAGAUGCGUAAAUCACCAGUCAGAAGUCUAGCUGUGCACUUUCAUGCUGGAUUAACUCCAUUUCAACACACAAUCAUAGUAAUUACGCGAACAAAGCACACUACUGCAUGUGCAUUUUUUCCAAGGCUCUGGAUUAUUCUUAAGUUCAUAAGUCCAAGAGAGAACCAUAAACUACUACAGGCAUGAUGAAAGAGAGAAAACACAACAAAACCAAGACGAAGAUAUAUAUUCAUUAACAUUGUACUUGAAAUGUGCAGGCACUCUUACUCUGUCUUCCUUUUUUGGCAACUGAUCACUGAUAAGUGCUUUGGUUCGCCUCAGAAACCAGCCAGACAUUUUUCUUGCUAGCUCCACCAUGGCCUUACGACCUGUUGCUAGCUCUCUUUUAGUUGCAGUGUGCCUCUGGCCAUGCUCCACUGGAUCAGAAAACUUCUUCUUGAAGUGUGCUCUGCUACCCAAAAGUCCUGGUACAGCCCUAUAAAAAACCAAAAGGAUGUGGGGGGUGGAGUGUGUGCGAAGCAGUAACAGCAUUUUCUUUACUCCAAGGCAGUCUUUCCUUUUCUGUUAAUUAAAAGCAUACCAUAAAUUGUUUCUGGAUAACAGCAAGAGCUCUUAGAAAAAUGAAUAAAAAUUGUGUAUAUAGAUAGAAACAUAUACUACUUCCAGAUAUGCCAUUUUUUUAAUCUACUUUCUGUGACUCCCAAACAUUAAGAGAUUCCCCUUUAGAAAGGGGUUGCUAUCUCCAGAAAAAUCUUUGUUUUUGUUUUAGCUCAGCAGACUAACAGAAGUCACAAGAAUAUAGAACCUCUAAACUACAAGACCACUGCUGUUCUGGAGCCUGAACCUGAAGCUAAACAGUCAUGUUCUCAAUUUUUACUGUUUUUAUUAAAAUCAGGUUAUGCAGAUAUUACAAUUUACUAAAUAAAAUCUUAACAAACCCAACAGCAAAAAGAGUUUAGUAAUCACUGGCAGCUUUAUAUAUUGGAACAAUUUAUUAACAACAUCAGCAUAGUUUUAAUGGACCAGAGGCAACACUAAGCUUACUGUUAAAAUAUUUUUUUCCCCAUAUUUCAAUUCAGGCUAUAUAUCCCUAUAUUUAAGGUAUGUUUGCUCUGUUCCUCCUCUGUAGAGCAUCCCCAGAAAGUCUCCUAUGUUUCAGUUUCUAUCUAGGGUUAGUUCCACCCCUCCCUCUUCAUUAAAAGAUUUCCUGGACAAGACUAUUGCUUUGCAACUAUGUGCAUUUUGGAAAACGGCAAAAUAUCAUGACUUUCAUCUUCUAAAUAAGUCAGAAUGACCUGCAUAUAUUGGACAGCGCAAAGGCACAACACUGUUCAAACUUGUGUAAUGAUUCUCCAUCUACUCUGUGGAGGUCAGAGGAAAAAGAAGAAAAAGGUCUGUCCUUGGAAAAGAAAGGUAAACAUGGGGGGUAGGAAGGGGAUGGGUAGCAUUUUAACUGCUUCCCAAAUUCUCCAAAGAAGCCAGAUAGGAGGAGCUCCAAAUGUAUUAAACAAUGGAAAAAUUCAUAGCAGGAGCUUAACUCUGCAGAUGCAUUGGAAAAACAUACUUAUAUACUGACAAAACAUUGGGUUUUUUGGGAGAGGGUUAUGAUUUGUUUUUGGGUUUUCUGACACAGAUGAGUCCGUAUCAUCCAUCUCUAUCCCCGCCCCACUACAUGGUUAACAUACAGAGGUGUUUGUCCAUAAAAAUAAAAAAAAAAAAAAGAUACUUUACUUACCAGUCCAUAACACACCAAAGUUCCUUCAUAUCGUUCUGAAGAAUGGUUCCAGUAAGGCCAAUGCGAACACUGCAUUUUAAUGACUUCAUGGUUUGAGUUAUUUGAGCCUUUGGAUUCUUGAUUCUGUGUGCUUCAUCCACUAUUACAGCAGACCAUUCUACACUGCAGAUCAACAAGAAAUACUGUAUUAACUGAAACUACUUAUCUCAUCAUUCUACAUGCACAUAAACAGUGAUGUCAGCCACACAAGCAGCUGUGAUUAUUAUAAGACAUUAUUACUUUUUGAUUUUCCUGUUCUACAUUACAUUACACUACUCAGUUUCUCCAUAUUGUGUUUGUUUAAUACAUUCAACCGCCAUAGUUGAAUAUAACAGCUAAACUACAUAGCCAAAUAAAUGAACUAAUGCUAGAAGUAUCAAAUGUUUUCUGCGAAGAAAGCAGCUUUCACUAUCUGGAACAAUCAAUCCAGCACAUCUCACCAGGCACUAAUUUUGCUCAUAAGUAAGAGUUAGAAAAAUUAAACCUCUGAAGGUAAACUACUGAAACAUGCUUAACACAGGUAUGCUUCAUUUUCCCAAUAAAAACUAUCCAGUGUAACUAGAAGUACACUUAAAGCACUUCAGUUUGCAUGGUUUCCUACAUGAAAGCAUCACGGAACUUCUUUAGUAUCUGUAUGCUAUCAAUAUGGCAGAGGAGUUUAAAUAUUUUGUGAUUUUGUGACUAGGAAAGCCAUAUUUGGAAGAAGGGACUGAAAGGUAUUUUGCAGCCAGCUCAAGCAUAAACUUGGAGGUAGAAUGACCAGUAUGUAUACUGUGAUACUAAUUUAAGUCAUCAAGUACCUAGGAAGAGAUCUGUUAACUUUAUGAGAUUGCUUUAUAUAUAUGAAUGCAUAUUUCAUAACAAAAUCAUAUCCACCUCAAUGAUACUUCAGACUGCAAAAGCUGAAACAGACAUGUUUAGGAAGAAACCUCUCUCCUGAACAGGCUGCACUUAGUUCAUUAAUCUGAAAGCCAAUCUUGCGGCAUUUUUGAUGCCUGUUAAAUACAUUCCUUCAUAUCUGAGCUCCUUAUGUUCCUAAUAUCUGCUAAAAAUUGGAGUUUCUGAAAAGGGUCCAACAAACAACCAUACACUAGCUCCUUCAACUUAAUCACUCAUUAUGCAGAUGUACAUGCAUAAUAAUUGAUCCCAUGUAUUCUUCUCAGCAACACUUAAUUACUUAAGACCAGUUGAGACCAAACCAUCAUUCUAGUUAAGCAAGACACAUAGCCUCUUCCAGCGUCAAGCUCAUAGGUUCAUCCAGUCACAGGCUCUGUAGAAACAGAGUAUGGGUAAAUCUGCAUGCUGCAGCAAUGUAUUUGCAAGCAGUCAGUCAGAUCUGCUCUGCAUAUAUACCUAUUCCCUGAACGUAGCCAAAGGAAAGGCAAAACUCCUAGUUUGAAAAUGCUGACAGUCAUGGAGCAAAUAAAGCAGCAUGUCUAAUACCUCUGCUGUCAGAAAGACCUUGAUUCUGCUAAGUCCACCAGGUAUUUAUACACACAAAUAUACAUCUUGUAUCUCAAGGUUUUUAGACCUCAAGAAUUUCUUCAAGCUGGUGAAAAAUGCAAAUUACAAGGAAAAUGCACCUUUUGAGCAUUUGCUAAAGAAUUCCAGAUUAAUUUUUUU